UGGUGGAAAUCAUUACUAGUACUUUUUUUUUGUUCUUAUUGUUAUUGUUCUGCUUCUUCAUCUUCGUCAUCACCAUCAUAUCAUUAUUAUCAUUGUUAUUAUUAUCAUCAUCAUCGUCAUCGUCAGGCCCUAUGGAUGCCCCGCCCACACCUGCCCGUCAGCCAAUCAGCGCGCAGAUCACCUGACAUCACCUGCCCGCCCAGCCAAUCACCGCCCGCCUCUCCCGACCCUUUUAAGCAGGACAGAUGGGAGGCCAAACGAAGGGAGGAGAAGCCUAUGUGGAAGGAGGAGGAAGAGGAGGAGGAGGAGGAGUGGGGUGGAGGCAGUGGGGGGCGGCGUGCUUGACCCGUGCGAGGGGGGCGGCGUCCCAGAUCGGUCUCUACAUUUUCUUUAUAUUGUACACGGCUGGGGGGGCCUUGGUCUUCCAAGCCCUCGAGCACCCCCACGAGGUCAGGACGAAGCAGGAGGUGUCUCGUGGCCUCGUCGAAAUGAGGCAACACUUACUGACAACCAUCACCAACCUUACGUCACCCGACCUGAUGAUGCAUACGGUGAGAGAUAGAGAUAGAUAGAUAGAGAGAGAGAGAGAGAGAGAGAGAGAGAGAGAGAGAGAGAGAAGAUAAGAUAAUGAGAUAGGCCUGAAAUACAGUCUAGGUCCAGAUGUGUUUUCUUCUUUGUUUUUUGUUUGCUUUCUUGUUUACUUACCUCGUGUGUUUUAAAAGGAAAGGAAGAGAUAGUGUUGGACUCUCUCUCUCUCUCUCUCUCUCUCUCUCUCUCUCUCUC
This is a long non-coding RNA of Eriocheir sinensis (Chinese mitten crab), 783 nucleotides long. RefSeq lists it as uncharacterized. The record is from RefSeq and is a predicted model, not a curated record. The transcript is spliced from 3 exons. NCBI's taxonomy places the organism in Eukaryota, Metazoa, Arthropoda, Malacostraca, Decapoda, Varunidae.